GAUGCUAAUACCGGAUAACAACAGAUGAUGCCUAUCAACUGUUUAAAAGAUGGUUAUGCUAUCACUCUUGGAUGGACCUGCGGUGCAUUAGCUAGUUGGUAGGGUAACGGCCUACCAAGGCGAUGAUGCAUAGCCGAGUUGAGAGACUGGUCGGCCACAUUGGGACUGAGACACGGCCCAAACUCCUACGGGAGGCAGCAGUC
Molecule: ribosomal RNA, 203 nt
Filed under: uncultured Lactobacillus sp.
Lineage: Bacteria; Bacillati; Bacillota; Bacilli; Lactobacillales; Lactobacillaceae
Description: partial 16S ribosomal RNA
Rfam family: Bacterial small subunit ribosomal RNA
Source: RNAcentral